CAGUCGCCGCGGGAAUACGAAGGGGGCUAGCGUUGUUCGGAAUUACUGGGCGUAAAGCGCACGUAGGCGGAUAUUUAAGUCAGGGGUGAAAUCCCGCAGCUCAACUGCGGAACUGCCUUUGAUACUGGGUAUCUUGAGUAUGGAAGAGGUUAGUGGAAUUGCGAGUGUAGAGGUGAAAUUCGUAGAUAUUCGCAGGAACACCAGUGGCGAAGGCGGCUAACUGGUCCAUAACUGACGCUGAGGUGCGAAAGCGUGGGGAGCAAACAGGAUUAGAGACCCCCGUAGUCCCUGUCUCUUAUAC
RNAcentral lists this ribosomal RNA (301 nucleotides) under uncultured bacterium. Its description in RNAcentral is "partial 16S ribosomal RNA". It matches the Rfam family "Bacterial small subunit ribosomal RNA", at positions 509 to 807 of the family's 1533-position model. The record is from RNAcentral.